UCCGGUUUGGCACCGGCAGUCUUCCUAGAGUCCCCGGCAUGACCCGCUGGCAACAUGAGGAAGGGGUUGCGCUCGUUGCGCCACUUAAGGCAACACCUCACGGCACGAGCUGACGACGACCAUGCAGCACCUGUGCGGGCUCCCGUAGGAGGACCGUGUUUCCACGGCUUCACCCCGCAUGUCAAGCCCUGGUAAGGUUCUUCGCGUCGCGUCGAAUUAAGCCACAUGCUCCGCCGCUUGUGCGGGCCCCCGUCAAUUCCUUUGAGUUUUAGCCUUGCGGCCGUACUUCCCAGGCGGGGCACUUAAUGCGUUAGCUACGGCACGGAGUCCGUCGAUAAGACCCCACACCUAGUGCCCAACGUUUACGGCGUGGACUAC
Molecule: unclassified non-coding RNA, 378 nt
Filed under: uncultured Actinomycetes bacterium
Lineage: Bacteria; Bacillati; Actinomycetota; Actinomycetes
Description: uncultured actinobacterium contains 16S-23S intergenic spacer region
Source: RNAcentral